Molecule: ribosomal RNA, 924 nt
Filed under: Triticum aestivum (bread wheat)
Lineage: Eukaryota; Viridiplantae; Streptophyta; Magnoliopsida; Poales; Poaceae
Description: partial small subunit ribosomal RNA
Source: RNAcentral
AUGGCGCAGGACGACCCGGUUGUCUCUGCGCAGUGGCUGCAGCAGCACCUAGGGCAGCCCGAUAUCAAGAUACUGGAUGCUUCCUGGUACAUGCCACACGAGAGCAGGGACGCAUGGCAAGAAUACCAGGUGGCCCAUAUUCCUGGCGCGCUCUACUUCGACAUCGAUGGAAUUUCUGAUCGGACGACUCAUUUGCCACACAUGCUGCCAUUGGAAGAGGCAUUCGCAGCAGCGGUUUCUGCACUUGGUAUCAGUAACCAUGAUAAAGUCAUUGUUUAUGAUGGGAAGGGGUUCUACAGCGCGCCUCGUGUUUGGUGGAUGUUCAGAAUCCUUGGACAUGAUAAAGUUUGGGUCUUAGAUGGAGGUUUCCCUCAGUGGCAAGCUUCUGGAUUCAAUAUUGGAAGCAGCUGCCCUGAUGAUGCAGUUCUGAAAUCCAAAGCUGCUAAUAUUGCUGUUGAAACAGCUUAUAAUGGUGAAUUGGCAAAUGCUGCCACAUUUCAGACAGAGUUUCGACAUCAGCUAUUGUGGACACUAGAAAAGGUCAAACACAAUGUAGCUGCUAAGGCUCACCAAGUAGUUGAUGCCCGAGUAAAGGGCAGAUUUGAUGGUGUAAUGCCAGAACCAAGGGAAGGAGUUAGAAGUGGGCAUAUACCUGGAACUAAAUGUGUUCCGUUCCCUGAGAUGUCUGAUGGUGCACAAACGCUCCUCCCUGCAGAUGAGCUAUCUAAAAAGUUCGAGCAAGCAGGCAUUUCCCUUGAUGGCCCGAUUGUCCUCACAUGUGCAUCUGGUGUAACUGCAUGCAUACUUGCCCUGGGGCUUUAUAGAAUUGGGAAGCAUGACGUUCCGGUUUACGACGGAUCUUGGACAGAAUGGGAAGCGCUGCCAGAUAAUGAUUACCCAAUAGUUACUUCCACUGGCUCUUAA